This 259-nucleotide ribosomal RNA is filed under the name uncultured prokaryote. Its description in RNAcentral is "partial 16S ribosomal RNA". It matches the Rfam family "Bacterial small subunit ribosomal RNA", at positions 524 to 782 of the family's 1533-position model. The record is from RNAcentral.
UACGGAGGGUCCAAGCGUUAUCCGGAUUUAUUGGGUUUAAAGGGUGCGUAGGCGGCUUUUUAAGUCAGCGGUGAGAUUUUGCAGCUUAACUGUAACAGUGCCGUUGAUACUGGGGAGCUAGGAUUUGGUUGCUGUGGGUGGAAUGUGUGGUGUAGCGGUGAAAUGCUUAGAGAUCACACAGAAUAUCGAUUGCGAAGGCAGCUCACAAAGCCAAGAUUGACGCUGAGGCACGAAAGUGUGGGGAUCAAACAGGAUUAGA